RNAcentral lists this ribosomal RNA (206 nucleotides) under uncultured bacterium. RNAcentral describes it as "partial 16S ribosomal RNA". It matches the Rfam family "Bacterial small subunit ribosomal RNA", at positions 568 to 774 of the family's 1533-position model. The record is from RNAcentral.
CGCGUAGGCGGUUGCCUAAGUCGGACGUGAAAUCCCCAAGCUUAACUUGGGAACUGCAUCUGAUACUGGGUGACUUGAGUUCGGGAGAGGAAUGUGGAAUUCCAGGUGUAGCGGUGAAAUGCGUAGAUAUCUGGAGGAACACCGGUGGCGAAGGCGGCAUUCUGGACCGAAACUGACGCUGAGGCGCGAAAGCCAGGGAGCAAACG